GAUGAACGCUGGCGGCGUGCCUAAUACAUGCAAGUCGAGCGAACAGAUAAGGAGCUUGCUCCUUUGACGUUAGCGGCGGACGGGUGAGUAACACGUGGGUAACCUACCUAUAAGACUGGGAUAACUUCGGGAAACCGGAGCUAAUACCGGAUAACAUUUGGAACCGCAUGGUUCUAAAGUGAAAGAUGGUUUUGCUAUCACUUAUAGAUGGACCCGCGCCGUAUUAGCUAGUUGGUAAGGUAACAGCUUACCAAGGCAACGAUACGUAGCCGACCUGAGAGGGUGAUCGGCCACACUGGAACUGAGACACGGUCCAGACUCCUACGGGAGGCAGCAGUAGGGAAUCUUCCGCAAUGGGCGAAAGCCUGACGGAGCAACGCCGCGUGAGUGAUGAAGGGUUUCGGCUCGUAAAACUCUGUUAUUAGGGAAGAACAAAUGUGUAAGUAACUGUGCACGUCUUGACGGUACCUAAUCAGAAAGCCACGGCUAACUACGUG
This 497-nucleotide ribosomal RNA is filed under the name uncultured bacterium. RNAcentral's name for it is "partial 16S ribosomal RNA". It matches the Rfam family "Bacterial small subunit ribosomal RNA", at positions 28 to 507 of the family's 1533-position model. The record is from RNAcentral.